Molecule: ribosomal RNA, 512 nt
Filed under: Candida albicans
Lineage: Eukaryota; Fungi; Ascomycota; Pichiomycetes; Serinales; Debaryomycetaceae
Description: eukaryotic LSU rRNA
Rfam family: 5.8S ribosomal RNA (bases 145-298)
Source: RNAcentral
GAGGCCUCUAUUGCUUAUUGCACCACAUGUGUUUUUCUUUGAAACAAACUUGCUUUGGCGGUGGGCCCAGCCUGCCGCCAGAGGUCUAAACUUACAACCAAUUUUUUAUCAACUUGUCACACCAGAUUAUUACUUAAUAGUCAAAACUUUCAACAACGGAUCUCUUGGUUCUCGCAUCGAUGAAGAACGCAGCGAAAUGCGAUACGUAAUAUGAAUUGCAGAUAUUCGUGAAUCAUCGAAUCUUUGAACGCACAUUGCGCCCUCUGGUAUUCCGGAGGGCAUGCCUGUUUGAGCGUCGUUUCUCCCUCAAACCGCUGGGUUUGGUGUUGAGCAAUACGACUUGGGUUUGCUUGAAAGACGGUAGUGGUAAGGCGGGAUCGCUUUGACAAUGGCUUAGGUCUAACCAAAAACAUUGCUUGCGGCGGUAACGUCCACCACGUAUAUCUUCAAACUUUGACCUCAAAUCAGGUAGGACUACCCGCUGAACUUAAGCAUAUCAAUAAGCGGAGGAA